This 433-nucleotide long non-coding RNA is filed under the name Meleagris gallopavo (turkey). RNAcentral describes it as "lncRNA (ENSMGAG00000020227.1)". The record is from RNAcentral. Lineage: Eukaryota; Metazoa; Chordata; Aves; Galliformes; Phasianidae.
GUUGAUCCCGUGUUGAUCCCGUGUUCUUCUCAUGUUAAUCCCAUGUUGGUUCACCGUUGUGCCUUCUCCAUCCAUGUUGAUCCCAUGUUAAUCCCAUGAUGAUCCCGUGUUCAUCCCAUGUUAAUCCCAUGUUGAUUCACCGUUGUGCCUGUCUCCAUCCAUGUUGAUCCCAUGUUAAUCCCAUGAUGAUCCCGUGUUCAUCUCAUGUUAAUCCCAUGUUGAUUCACCACUGUGCCUGUCUCCGUCCCAUGUUAAUGCAUGUUAAUCCCAUGAUGAUCCCGUGUUCAUCCCAUGUUAAUCCCAUGUAGAUCCCGUGUUAAUCCCAUGUUAACCCCAUGUUAAUUCCCUGUUGUGCCUGCCUCCAUCCCAUGUUAACACCGUGUUGGCUGCCUGACGGUCACGUGACCCUCCCAUGUUCAUCCCAUGUUCACAG